RNAcentral lists this ribosomal RNA (445 nucleotides) under uncultured bacterium. RNAcentral's name for it is "bacterial SSU rRNA". It matches the Rfam family "Bacterial small subunit ribosomal RNA", at positions 335 to 796 of the family's 1533-position model. The record is from RNAcentral.
ACUCCUACGGGAGGCAGCAGUAGGGAAUCUUGCGCAAUGGGCGAAAGCCUGACGCAGCAACGCCGCGUGGGGGAUGAAGGCUCUCGGGUUGUAAACCCCUUUCAGCAGGGACGAAAUUGACGGUACCUGCAGAAGAAGCCCCGGCCAACUACGUGCCAGCAGCCGCGGUAACACGUAGGGGGCAAGCGUUGUCCGGAUUUAUUGGGCGUAAAGAGCUCGUAGGCGGCUCGGUAAGUCGGGUGUGAAAACUCAGGGCUCAACCCUGAGACGCCACUCGAUACUGCUGUGGCUAGAGUCCGGUAGGGGAGCGUGGAAUUCCUGGUGUAGCGGUGAAAUGCGCAGAUAUCAGGAGGAACACCAGCGGCGAAGGCGGCGCUCUGGGCCGGAACUGACGCUGAGGAGCGAAAGCGUGGGGAGCAAACAGGAUUAGAAACCCGUGUAGUCC